AGGAAGCGUAGGUUCAUCCCAAGCUCCAAAUGCUACACUCUGAAUACUGAUCUUGGCUCCAGGUGUUUAUUCCUCUCUUGUGGGUCAAACAGUAACAUGGUGGUCAGGAAACAGUUUACAAAGUCUUGUGGCUGUUUGUUGGUGUGGGUUUGCUAGGAUUAGGACUGCAAUAUAAAGCUUAUAAGAAGAAAUUAGGCCAACGGUUGUUUUGGUGCAGCAACUGUCUCUUGCUAUGAAUACAUUUGGCAGCUGUCACAAUGGGGCUCUGAUCUUGCUUGGGACUGGUAAGUGCUUCUGUAAUACAAAUAAAAAAUAAUGGGUGGGGAAAAAUGAAGACUAAAAUUAAGUUAGAAUUGCCUCCAAAAACUAUUAGUAUGGUGUAAAACUGAGGAGGGGGGAAAGACAAGUAGGAAAAAGGGAAUGAUGCAAAGAAAAUGUAGGGCAAAAGAAAGGAAAAUUAGACACAGCAAGAGGAGGAUGUAGGAAGAGAGAACAAAUGAGAACACGAUGGACUGCGAAGUGUAGAUUUACAGUAUAAUGUAAACCCAAGGGCUUUUAUGGUGUAAAGAUGUUUUGGGGCAUCUCCAGGAUUGGGAAAAGAUGUUCAAAUGGCCUCUUCUUGAGAGAGUGUCUUUCUACUCUUUCCACCCUCCUUCCAUGAUGAUGAAUGUGGAUGGUUGUUCUGACUUCCACACUCUGAUUGGGGGAAUGAUAGCGAUCUUUCCAGAGCCGCAGUAAAACUUUUAUUAUAUAAGAUACUCUGUGAGUACACUUUUUUUUUCUCAAGUAGGCUGAUGCAGAGUUACUUUAAUCAGGGCAGAAUUUAUUUCCAGGGAUAAUGAGGGAGUUCACCUGCUUCACUGAUGUUGAUGCAAAUAGUUGCCCAUGUGUUCAUGACCUAAGAACGUGUGAUAGUGACGCAUGCAAGU
This is a long non-coding RNA of Chelonia mydas (Green sea turtle), 929 nucleotides long. RefSeq lists it as uncharacterized. The transcript is spliced from 3 exons. NCBI's taxonomy places the organism in Eukaryota, Metazoa, Chordata, Testudines, Cheloniidae. The record is from RefSeq and is a predicted model, not a curated record.